CCUACGGGAGGCAGCAGUCGAGAAUCAUUCACAAUGGGGGAAACCCUGAUGGUGCGACGCCGCGUGGGGGAAUGAAGGUCUUCGGAUUGUAAACCCCUGUCAUGUGGGAGCAAAUUAAAAAGAUAGUACCACAAGAGGAAGAGACGGCUAACUCUGUGCCAGCAGCCGCGGUAAUACAGAGGUCUCAAGCGUUGUUCGGAAUCACUGGGCGUAAAGCGUGCGUAGGCUGUUUCGUAAGUCGUGUGUGAAAGGCGCGGGCUCAACCCGCGGACGGCACAUGAUACUGCGAGACUAGAGUAGUGGAGGGGGAACCGGAAUUCGCGGUGUAGCAGUGAAAUGCGUAGAUAUCGAGAGGAACACUCGUGGCGAAGGCGGGUUCCUGGACAUUAACUGACGCUGAGGCACGAAGGCCAGGGGAGCGAAAGGGAUUAGAUACCCUAGUAGUC
RNAcentral lists this ribosomal RNA (446 nucleotides) under uncultured bacterium. RNAcentral describes it as "partial 16S ribosomal RNA". It matches the Rfam family "Bacterial small subunit ribosomal RNA", at positions 338 to 795 of the family's 1533-position model. The record is from RNAcentral.